This 253-nucleotide ribosomal RNA is filed under the name uncultured bacterium. RNAcentral's name for it is "partial 16S ribosomal RNA". It matches the Rfam family "Bacterial small subunit ribosomal RNA", at positions 524 to 776 of the family's 1533-position model. The record is from RNAcentral.
UACGGAGGGUGCAAGCGUUAUCCGGAUUCACUGGGUUUAAAGGGUGCGUAGGUGGGUUGGUAAGUCAGUGGUGAAAUCUUGGAGCUUAACUCCGAAACUGCAUUCGAUGCUGCCGUGCUUGAGGACUGGAGAGGAGACUGGAAUUUACGGUGUAGCGGUGAAAUGCGUAGAUAUCGUAAGGAAGACCAGUGGCGAAGGCGGGCCUCUGGACAGUUCCUGACGCUGAAGCACGAAGGCCAGGGGAGCAAACGGG